RNAcentral lists this ribosomal RNA (484 nucleotides) under uncultured bacterium. Its description in RNAcentral is "partial 16S ribosomal RNA". It matches the Rfam family "Bacterial small subunit ribosomal RNA", at positions 30 to 507 of the family's 1533-position model. The record is from RNAcentral.
AUUGAACGCUGGCGGCAGGCCUAACACAUGCAAGUCGAGCGGAUGAAGGGAGCUUGCUCCUGGAUUCAGCGGCGGACGGGUGAGUAAUGCCUAGGAAUCUGCCUGGUAGUGGGGGAUAACGUCCGGAAACGGGCGCUAAUACCGCAUACGUCCUGAGGGAGAAAGUGGGGGAUCUUCGGACCUCACGCUAUCAGAUGAGCCUAGGUCGGAUUAGCUAGUUGGUGGGGUAAAGGCCUACCAAGGCGACGAUCCGUAACUGGUCUGAGAGGAUGAUCAGUCACACUGGAACUGAGACACGGUCCAGACUCCUACGGGAGGCAGCAGUGGGGAAUAUUAGACGAUGGGCGAAAACCUGUUCCAGCCAUGCCACGUGUGUGAAGAAAGUCUUCUGAUUGUAAAGCACAUUAAGUUGGGAGAAAGGGCAGUAAGUUAAUACCUUGCUGUUUUGACGUUACCAACAGAAUAAGCACCGGCUAACUUCGUG